CAGUAGCCGCGGUAAUACGUAGGUGGCAAGCGUUGUCCGGAAUUAUUGGGCGUAAAGGGCUCGCAAGCGGUUUCUUAAGUCUGAUGUGAAAGCCCCCGGCUCAACCGGGGAGGGUCAUUGGAAACUGGGAAACUUGAGUGCAGAAGAGGAGAGUGGAAUUCCACGUGUAGCGGUGAAAUGCGUAGAGAUGUGGAGGAACACCAGUGGCGAAGGCGACUCUCUGGUCUGUAACUGACGCUGAGGAGCGAAAGCGUGGGGAGCGAACAGGAUUAGAGACCCCGGUAGUCCCUGUCUCUUAUAA
This 301-nucleotide ribosomal RNA is filed under the name uncultured bacterium. RNAcentral's name for it is "partial 16S ribosomal RNA". It matches the Rfam family "Bacterial small subunit ribosomal RNA", at positions 509 to 809 of the family's 1533-position model. The record is from RNAcentral.